AUCAUUUCUUGACCUUCUGCCUAAGAUCAAGUGUAGUACCUGUUCUCAUCAGUUUACUAUCUGAUAUAUCCUCUAUCCCAGGACAAUAUAGUAAAUGGGUUUUUGGAGCUGAGAGAUGGAACAGGAGCUUGCUCUACACACUCCACGUAUCUACCUGGUACUGCAAGUGCCUCCAGGAACAGCACACCAAAA
Small nuclear RNA from Cavia porcellus (domestic guinea pig), 192 nucleotides. Its record names the gene U2. It matches the Rfam family "U2 spliceosomal RNA". From Rfam's summary of the family: U2 is a small nuclear RNA (snRNA) component of the spliceosome (involved in pre-mRNA splicing). Complementary binding between U2 snRNA (in an area lying towards the 5' end but 3' to hairpin I) and the branchpoint sequence (BPS) of the intron results the bulging out of an unpaired adenosine, on the BPS, which initiates a nucleophilic attack at the intronic 5' splice site, thus starting the first of two transesterification reactions that mediate splicing. The record is from Ensembl. NCBI's taxonomy places the organism in Eukaryota, Metazoa, Chordata, Mammalia, Rodentia, Caviidae.